Long non-coding RNA from Bufo bufo (common toad), 166 nucleotides. RefSeq lists it as uncharacterized. The transcript is spliced from 2 exons. NCBI's taxonomy places the organism in Eukaryota, Metazoa, Chordata, Amphibia, Anura, Bufonidae. The record is from RefSeq and is a predicted model, not a curated record.
UUCUCUUAUCUGACCAUAAAUAAGAUGGUCUGUUAACUGUCAAGAUGGAUCCAUGAUGUCUGGGAAAGUGAUUCUAAAGUGUCAAAGAAGAGUCCCUCCUAAUUGAUUUAAGUUGGGAGAGGUCAAAGUUUAAGUUGUGUAAUGAAGCCAUAUAUAUGUGUUAAUU